This 71-nucleotide non-coding RNA is filed under the name unclassified sequences. The record is from RNAcentral.
GCUCUCCCACAACAGCAGUCGCCACGAGACGGAGAGCGGGCAACGGUUAGAUAGACCGGCUGACGGUGCAG